This 490-nucleotide ribosomal RNA is filed under the name uncultured bacterium. Its description in RNAcentral is "partial 16S ribosomal RNA". It matches the Rfam family "Bacterial small subunit ribosomal RNA", at positions 28 to 507 of the family's 1533-position model. The record is from RNAcentral.
GAUGAACGCUAGCUACAGGCUUAACACAUGCAAGUCGCGGGGCAGCAUGGGGGUUGCUUGCAAUCCCCGAUGGCGACCGGCGCACGGGUGAGUAACGCGUAUCCAACCUGCCCUUCACCACGGGAUAACCCGGCGAAAGUCGGACUAAUACCGUAUGUUGUCCAUUGACGGCAUCCGAUUUGGACGAAAGGCUUGGCGGUGAGGGGUGGGGAUGCGUCCGAUUAGCCAGACGGCGGGGUAACGGCCCACCGUGGCUACGAUCGGUAGGGGUUCUGAGAGGAAGGUCCCCCACACUGGAACUGAGACACGGUCCAGACUCCUACGGGAGGCAGCAGUGAGGAAUAUUGGUCAAUGGGCGUAAGCCUGAACCAGCCAAGUAGCGUGCAGGAUGACGGCCCUAUGGGUUGUAAACUGCUUUUAUGCGGGGAUAAAGUGGCCCACGUGUGGGCUUUUGCAGGUACCGCAUGAAUAAGGACCGGCUAAUUCCGUG